RNAcentral lists this long non-coding RNA (3120 nucleotides) under Homo sapiens (human). Its description in RNAcentral is "HSALNT0184170". Lineage: Eukaryota; Metazoa; Chordata; Mammalia; Primates; Hominidae. The record is from RNAcentral.
CGACAGGAUUAAUUCUAUUCCUGGAGGGCCCAGUGGAGCAGGGCCAUUUGGGACGCCAGGAAGGUAGAAGGAGCACCGCUGCCAGGGCAUGUGGUGUCCCGGAAGAUGGCCAAGGCAGGCUGCCCAGAGUGGAAAGGAUGGCAACACGUGCCAGGCUGGGAUAGUGACUUGAAGAUGAGGAGCCUGGGCUGGGCGGGCCGCAGGCGGCAGGGAAGGCCCCACAUCGAGGGUUGCAAUCUUGUCAUCCAUAACUCUUAUAAGAAUGAGCCCUGGCCUGGAAGAGAGGCCAAAUGUCUAAUCAGCAGGCCUGGAACACCGCCGGUGCCAAGAAAGAGCCAAGCAGCCACUCCCUGGGGCUGGCUGCAGAUGAGGCCCUUGUGGUUUCCCCACUCACUGACUACGGGGAGGAGGGUGUGCAAGGACUUUGUCUGGGAAGAAUCUUUGCAUCUGUAGCUCAACAGGCUUCUCUCUCCAGGCCCCUGGGUUUCAAAAGACUGUGACUUCCACCUUGGUUUGCUCGGUCUGAUGAAGGAACUUUGAGCUGUGAGCUGCACUGUGAACUUUGCUGUGAGCUGCCCUGUGAUGGGAGAGGAGGCCUCCGCCUCACAGCCCUGGAGGACCUCAAUGCUGCCAACGUGUGACCAGAUGCAGAUCCUUCUCCAGUCAAGCCUGGACAUGACAUGACAGCAGCCCUGGGGACCUUGAUGCUGUGGCCUGUGCAAGACCCUGAGCCAGCCGCACCCAGAUCCCUCACCCACAGAAACUGCCAGAUUUUAAGUCUUCUGCUUCUGCAAGAUGAGUCACGGUUCUACUUCCCCUGGAAGGGCAGAAGUUGCAUAAGAUUGUUGAGGCUCAAGCGAGAUAAUGUGUGAGGCUGUUACUCCAGACUAGAGCCUUGAUUUUUAAACUUCAGCGUGCAUCAGAAUCGCCUGGAAGGUUUGUUAGAACCCCGCCCCCAGAGUUUCUCCUUCAGGGGGUCCAGGGUGGGCCUGAGAGUUUCUGAAGUGUUCCCAGGGGUUGCCGAUGCUGCUAGUCCAGGCACUAUAUUUAGGGAACCCCCGUCCUAAAGCCUCACCAAUUGAAUCUCCUAAGAUGAUGAAGAUGGCCUACAUCUGUGCUGUCCUAAACGGUAGCCAACAGCCACACGUGGCUACUGAGAACUCGGAGUGUGGCUAGCACGCCUGAGGACCCGAAUUUAAAAAACAGUUAAUUUUAAUUAACUUAAAUUUAAAUAGCCACGUAUGGUUGGUGGCCAGCGUUUUGGACAGUGUUGUUCUAGAGCUCAUCUGAGUUUGCAGAUGAAGAAACCGAGGCUUUGAGAGGUACCUCCCCUCCCUUGGAGUCUCAUGGCAAUCCUGGGGUGGUGCUCCGGCUGGCUGGCCUUCUUGAACAGGUCCUGUGAUAUGGGAACAUUUGAGUGCUUUGGGGGUGUCUUUGUUGCUUUGAGUUCCAGGUAGCUGAAAGGAGUGGGCUGGAAGGGGACGGGGAGACCCAUUUGCUGGCUCAUGACAAAGAUGAGAGCUGCAGACACAGCGCACAGCGGCAGGAAAAGGCUAAAUGAAAGAGGAUCAUCAGAGCGAAUCACGCUACUGCUCAGAAUGACCAGCUCUUCGGGAUUGAAGAAAGCUUCCUUCAUCCUGUCCUUGGCCUCCGUGGUCAAAGAGCUUCAGGGGCCUUGCUGACCUCCUUCCUCUCCAUUUUGCUGUGCCCUCUCACUGUCCCUGAACUUGAGAUCCUGGAGGUUUAGCUGUGCUCUGGGUCCCUUGAAGACUUCGGAGGCAAUCCACUAAGAAAUGGGGAUUUAAGUGAGACAUGAAGAAGAACUUCCUUAUGGCAAGAACUAUAAGAUGUUGAAGACAAGACACAGUAUUGGGAGUAAAGGCGGUGAGGCACGGAAAUAUAUUUACCAACACCCAGGGAACCGAGUCUUCUCCCCCAGGAUCCCUGCUCUGCUCGUUCAGCUUUCCUGUAAGAUCGCAGCUCAGCUCCGCUGGCAGACAACCUAACAAAGAGCCUCAAUAAGGCCAGACCCGCAGGCGGCUUAUCAAGAUGUACGUCUUUGCUGUGCACACAGACUGUCACCUCGGUGCUGCUGUGUCAUCACAGAAGGCAAAACCAAACAACUGUGCAUGCACACACACAUACAUGCACACACAUGGACACACACAUAUAUGCACACACGGACACACAUGCAUGCACACACACUUGCACACACAUACCCAUGCACGCACACAUGGACACACAGGCAUACGCACACACUUGCACACACAUGCAUAUACACGUGCACCAUGCACAUGCACACAUACGUACACACACAUGCACAUACAUAGCAUGCACAUGAACAUAUGAGUUUGCACACUGUUGAGUGCUGUGGUCCCAGGAGUCAGAAGCUCCAGCUUUGCCCUCCUAGCCCUUUAUCUGCUUCUCUUUCCUCCUCCUCUGUCUUGAGAACCUAACCAGGAGACUGCGUGUUGCACGGGAUAGGGACUGUGGGGCAUGAGAGGGAUCAUCUUUUGUAACACAAGCUGAGGACCCGACAGGUGCACAGCGAAUACUUAGGUCACAGAAGGCCAGUGCCAGAAGGGAGACCAGAGAUCUCAACCCAUCUCCUCAUUCUGCAGGGCAGGAAUCCCAGCCAGCACAAGGCCCAGGGCUGCUGAGUGAACUCACUAGCUAGCUAGUCACUGAGCAACAGAGUCUGGAGUCUGGGUCCCCUGAUGCCCAGUCUUGAGCUCUUUCAUGUCCUCCAUUCCUCACUCAGUUGACACGAAGGCACUGGGGCCUGAAGGACACGGAACAGGUGAGGCCAGUCCCCCUGCUUGAACAGCUCUGUGUAGGAAAGGAGAUGACUCCCUCUCCCCUCUCCCCUCUCCCCACGGUCUCCCUCUCCCUCUCUUUCCCCGGUCUCCCUCUGAUGCCGAGCCGAAGCUGGACUGUACUGCUGCCAUCUCGGCUCACUGCAACCUCCCUGCCUGAUUCUCCUGCCUCAGCCUGCCAAGUGCCUGCGAUUGCAGGCGUGCGCCGCCACGCCUGACUGGUUUUCAUAUUUUUUUGGUGGAGACGGGGUUUCGCUGUGUUGGCCGGGCUGGUCUCCAGCUCCUAACCGCGAGUGAUCCGCCA